AGGAUUUUAGUUAAUAAUAACAUUUAAAUUGCAUUUAAAAAUUAUACACCCAUAUGUAUAAAUCUUA
This 67-nucleotide transfer RNA is filed under the name Leptothorax acervorum. Its description in RNAcentral is "tRNA-Ala". Lineage: Eukaryota; Metazoa; Arthropoda; Insecta; Hymenoptera; Formicidae. The record is from RNAcentral.